AUCAGCCUUUUGGGUGUGAUUUUGUGGAGUGUGAAGAGUUAAACGCCUUCAUGCCUGCAUAUUCGUGCACUUUGGGUGUACUUGCCCGUGUGGUUGGUUAACAUCAAUUUUGGUGGUCAUAAAAUGACUGGAGGAAUGUAGCUUCGAUCUCGUAUUGAAGUGUUAUAGCCUUCGGUAGAUGUGAUGAUCGAGAUUGAGGAUUGCAACGGAUACCCUUCGGGGCUACCUGUCUGGUCUCUGAUCGUUGCUCUGGUGCCGAAAGCUUGCUUACGGUUAUCAAAGUCGAUGGGUCAAUAGGUUAGAACGGGGUUAAAUUCGUUAAGGAUGUUGACGUAAUGGCUUU
RNAcentral lists this ribosomal RNA (343 nucleotides) under uncultured Glomeromycotina. RNAcentral's name for it is "eukaryotic LSU rRNA". Lineage: Eukaryota; Fungi; Glomeromycota. The record is from RNAcentral.